UGUUUACAUACUUCUAAAAGGAACAUUAAAGAUAAGAAGUUAAAUUUGCAGAGUCAGUUGUCGAAUAACAUUCAUUAUGAAAACACUUUAUAGCUUAAUGUAUUGGUGGAUACUCCGAUUAUUUUAUUCAAAUAUGUAAUAAAGCCCCUAAGAAAGUAAAUGAAUUUAGUUCGGUAGUAAAUGUUAGUUAAGAAAUAUUAAUUUAUACGAAUUAAAUCUACCCCCUACAUGUAAAUAAUUUACUUAAUAAAUCUGAAGAAAAUCCUAGCAGACAAAUAAAGACACCACGGGAUCGGGCAGGAUGCUAAGAUAAAAGGGUAUGAUAUUGCUCGGUAUUUAACUUGUUAUCCUUAUUCAACAUCAAAAAUUCAUUAAAACAAACGACUCGUCGCUCAGUACGAUAUUUUCGCGGUUCGAAGAUUUAUUAGUAAUUUAAUUUUGUUUUUAAACGUACUUGGGUUUAUUUAAAAAAAUAAAAAAUGUUCGUUUAAAGCACUAAGUAAAUUACUCGAAUUCUAAAAAAAAAAUAAGACCAAGUUUAGAACAUGACGGCAUUCACAGACGUGUCGCUUAUGGAUUCUUACAUAAUUAUGUAUAACUAACAAUACAAUAUUCCAGUAAAAAAUAUUAAAUAAUUGGACAUAUUUUUUUAACACUAACUAAGUAACCAGAACUUAAAUUACUACCCAAAUUCACUAGGGCGGUUUGCAGAAUAUCCACUUCGGAUUUUCUUAAAACCAAUUUCGAUUUGGUCUAUAUUUGGAAAGUUGUUUUUAAAAGUAUGUUAUAAAAUCCCAGGAGUACUAUAUCUUUUAUGUUAUCAAAAAUAUUUAAAAAAAAAAAAAAGGCUAAGGCUAGUUUGAAGAUAUGGAGGAAUAAAGCUUAAUUUAUGUACUCAUAAAAAUUAAA
Molecule: long non-coding RNA, 909 nt
Organism: Eupeodes corollae
Lineage: Eukaryota; Metazoa; Arthropoda; Insecta; Diptera; Syrphidae
Exons: 2
Source: RefSeq, a predicted model, not a curated record